GGCGAAUAAUAGUUGUUAUUGUGAUAAUAUGUGUAUUUCAUACUUAUGUGCACUCGCAUAUAUAUACAACAGAAGUAACACUUGGACAUUAUAACUAUUUAACAGAUCUUCCCAUAUCAGUGAGCAUAAACUUGGCACCAAUUCGUCAACAAUUCAAACAAACUGAUAAAACAAAAAAAAAAAAAACAAGAAUCAAAACCCAUUAAAAUCCAAAGAUAAUAGAAAUACUGUGGAGUUGACUUGUUCAACUGAUCCAAUAACAAGAUAAUGGUAAAGAGGCAACAAAAAGAAAUGGAACUCCCAGAAAAAGAAAAGAAAGACAUACCUUAGAGGCAACCCAUGAAUGGGCGACUAAAGGACUUGUGUGUUUUCUGGGUUUUAUAUAGAAAAAUAAAUAAAUAAAAAUCAGAAUUUCUGGUGGAUCUGUAAACGCAAGUUUGAUGAAAGAGUAGAAGGGUGGAGGCUUUAAGAGAAGAAGAAGGGUAUAAUGGGUAAUGGGUAUUUACAGAGAAAUGUGUAUGAAUAUAUUAUUAUAAAUUAUAAAAUUUUUUGACAGAGGUGGAAUGUCAGGGGAAAAGAGAAGGCG
RNAcentral lists this long non-coding RNA (586 nucleotides) under Panax ginseng (ginseng). RNAcentral describes it as "long non-coding RNA (PGIN_LNC001543)". Lineage: Eukaryota; Viridiplantae; Streptophyta; Magnoliopsida; Apiales; Araliaceae. The record is from RNAcentral.